GUAAGUGUGUGACUGCACUCUUCAUUUCCCAGCUGCUUAUCUUCAAUACUGCAACACUCCCUUGUAGAAAACAAAGGAUGUAUUGGGACACUGCUAGUAACAACUCCAACACCACAGGCAUGGAUAAAACUUCCUACAACCCCCCUACAAUCAAAAUCAGAUAAAACAACAUCUCAAAGCAGACAACUCAGCACUAAGAUAAAGUUAAAGCUCCACCUAUUGAUGGAGUUUUGAGCACCUUCACUGAAGUCAGUUCGAAGUGAAUUGUAGCUGAAUGCACUCAACAUCUCUGGAAAUCAGGCUCAGUGUGUCUCAACUGAAAACGUGAGGCACCCAGACUUAAUGGACAGGUUUGAAAAAUGAAAUGCAAAAGGCAGAGAAGAGGAAAUGAGAACCAAUCACUACUGCG
This is a long non-coding RNA of Mauremys reevesii (Reeves's turtle), 409 nucleotides long. RefSeq lists it as uncharacterized. NCBI's taxonomy places the organism in Eukaryota, Metazoa, Chordata, Testudines, Geoemydidae. The record is from RefSeq and is a predicted model, not a curated record. The transcript has 3 exons.